RNAcentral lists this ribosomal RNA (492 nucleotides) under uncultured bacterium. Its description in RNAcentral is "partial 16S ribosomal RNA". It matches the Rfam family "Bacterial small subunit ribosomal RNA", at positions 29 to 507 of the family's 1533-position model. The record is from RNAcentral.
AGUGUACGCUGGCGGUGGGCCUAACACAUGCAAGUCGAACGGCAGCACAGUAAGAGCUUGCUCUUACGGGUGGCGAGUGGCGGACGGGUGAGGAAUACAUCGGAAUCUACUUUUUCGUGGGGGAUAACGUAGGGAAACUUACGCUAAUACCGCAUACGACCUACGGGUGAAAGCAGGGGAUCUUCGGACCUUGCGCGAUUGAAUGAGCCGAUGUCGGAUUAGCUAGUUGGCGGGGUAAAGGCCCACCAAGGCGACGAUCCGUAGCUGGUCUGAGAGGAUGAUCAGCCACACUGGAACUGAGACACGGUCCAGACUCCUACGGGAGGCAGCAGUGGGGAAUAUUGGACAAUGGGCGCAAGCCUGAUCCAGCCAUACCGCGUGGGUGAAGAAGGCCUUCGGGUUGUAAAGCCCUUUUGUUGGGAAAGAAAAGCAGCAGGUUAAUACCCCGCUGUUCUGACGGUACCCAAAGAAUAAGCACCGGCUAACUUCGUG